Molecule: ribosomal RNA, 374 nt
Filed under: uncultured organism
Description: partial 16S ribosomal RNA
Rfam family: Bacterial small subunit ribosomal RNA
Source: RNAcentral
GUAGGUGGCAAGCGUUGUCCGGAAUUAUUGGGCGUAAAGCGCGCGCAGGCGGUCCUUUAAGUCUGAUGUGAAAGCCCACGGCUCAACCGUGGAGGGUCAUUGGAAACUGGGGGACUUGAGUACAGAAGAGGAAAGCGGAAUUCCAAGUGUAGCGGUGAAAUGCGUAGAGAUUUGGAGGAACACCAGUGGCGAAGGCGGCUUUCUGGUCUGUAACUGACGCUGAGGCGCGAAAGCGUGGGGAGCAAACAGGAUUAGAUACCCUGGUAGUCCACGCCGUAAACGAUGAGUGCUAAAUGUUAGGGGGUUUCCCGCCCCCCUUAGUGCUGCAGCUAACGCAUUAAGCACUCCGCCUGGGGAGUACGGCCGCAAGGCUG